CCCGGUGACUUGUUUAACGGCUGCAAUUAAUAGUUGUGCUAAGGUAGCGUAGUAAGUUGUCCUUUAAUUGAGGAAAGGUAUGAAUGGUUUGACGUAAGGGAUACUGUCUCUAAAGAAAUAGUUGAAUUUUUCUUUUUAGUGAAAAGUCUAAGAUAAAAUUAAUAGACGAGAAGUCCCUUUCGAGCUUAAUUAUUGUGUGUAUAAUAACGCUUUAAAAAUUUGGUUGGGGCAACUUCGGAACAAAAAAAGCUUCCGUGAGGGUUUAUAGAUCCAAAAUUUUUGAGAGAAAGAAAAAGCUACCGUAGGGAUAACAGCGUAAUCUUUUUUGAGAGAACAAAUUGAAAAAAAG
RNAcentral lists this ribosomal RNA (349 nucleotides) under Lasaea colmani. RNAcentral's name for it is "partial 16S ribosomal RNA". It matches the Rfam family "Archaeal large subunit ribosomal RNA", at positions 1954 to 2584 of the family's 2987-position model. Lineage: Eukaryota; Metazoa; Mollusca; Bivalvia; Galeommatida; Lasaeidae. The record is from RNAcentral.